RNAcentral lists this ribosomal RNA (509 nucleotides) under uncultured soil bacterium. RNAcentral's name for it is "bacterial SSU rRNA". It matches the Rfam family "Bacterial small subunit ribosomal RNA", at positions 8 to 495 of the family's 1533-position model. The record is from RNAcentral.
AGAGUUUGAUCCUGGCUCAGAACGAACGUUGGCGGCGUGGUUGAGGCAUGCAAGUCGCACGAGAAAGAGGUAGCAAUACCUCUAGUAAAGUGGCGGAAGGGUGAGUAAUGGGUAGAUAACGUACCUUCGAGAUGGGCACAACGGUCCGAAAGGACCGCUAAUUCCCGGUAAGACCCCGAUUGGGCAUCCAAUUGUGGUCAGAGGCGGGGGAUCUUUGGACCUCGCGCUUGAAGAUCGGUCUACUCCCUACCAGCUAGUUGGCGGGGUAACGGCCCACCAAGGCUACGACGGGUACCCGGGCUGAGAGGCUGACCGGGCACAUCGGCACUGAGACACUGGCCGGACACCUACGGGUGGCUGCAGUUCGGAAUAUUCGGCAAUGGACGAAAGUCUGACCGAGCGACGCCGCGUGCGGGAUGAAGGCCCUUUGGGUUGUAAACCGCUUUCGCAGGUGAGCAAAUCACAUUGGACUAACAAUUCAGUGUGUUGAGUAAGCCUAAAGAGCCCCA